Molecule: ribosomal RNA, 1051 nt
Filed under: uncultured bacterium
Lineage: Bacteria
Description: bacterial SSU rRNA
Rfam family: Bacterial small subunit ribosomal RNA
Source: RNAcentral
UUUGGACAAUGGGGUCACCCGAUUCCAGCAAUGCUGCUGAAUGAAGAAGCCUUCGGGUUGUAACGUCUUUGUCAGGGACGAUCCGUGAGGUAUAUCAGCUUACUAUGGCGGUACCUGAAGAUUACGCUCCGGCUAAUUACGUGCCAGCAGCCGCGUUAAUACGUAGGGUGCAAGCGUUAAUCUGAAUUACUGGGCGUAAAGCGUGCGCAUGCGGCUAAUUAAGUCAGAUGUGAAAUCCCCGUGCUCAACUUGCGAACUGCAUUUGAGACUGUAUGGCUAGAGUUUGUCGGAGGGGGGUAGAUUUCCACGUGUAGCAGUGAAAUGCGUAGAUAUGUGGAGGAAUACCGAUGGCGAGGCCAGCCCCCUGGGAUAACACUGACGUUCUUGCACGAAAGCGUGGGGAGCAACCAGGAUUAGAUACCCUGUUAGUCCACGCCUUAAACGAUGUUUACUAGUUGUUGGGUCUUAAUGGACUUAGUAACGCAGCUAACGCGUGAAGUAGACCGCCUGGGGAGUACGGUCGCAAGAUUAAAACUCAAAGGAAUUGACGGGGACCCGCACAAGCGGUGGAUGAUGUGGAUUAAUUCGAUGCAACGCGAAAAACCUUACCUACCCUUGACAUGUACAGAAUGCCGAAGAGAUUUGGCGGUCUCGCAAGAGAACUGUAACACAGGUGCUGCAUGGCUGUCGUCGGCUCGUGUCGUGAGAUGUUGGGUUAAGUCCCGCAACGAGCGCAACCCUUGUCAUUAGUUGCUACAUUAAGUUGAGCACUCUAAUGAGACUGCCGGUGACAAACCGGAGGAAGGUGGGGAUGACGUCAAGUCCUCAUGGCCCUUAUGGGUAGGGCUUCACACGUCAUACAAUGGUACAUACAGAGGGCCGCCAACCCGCGAGGGGGAGCUAAUCCCAGAAAGUGUAUCGUAGUCCGGAUUGUAGUCUGCAACUCGAGUACAUGAAGUCGGAAUCGCUAGUAAUCGCGGAUCAGCAUGUCGCGGUGAAUACGUUCCCGGCUCUAGUACACACCGCCAGUCACACCAUGGGAGCGGGUUUC